This 253-nucleotide ribosomal RNA is filed under the name uncultured bacterium. Its description in RNAcentral is "partial 16S ribosomal RNA". It matches the Rfam family "Bacterial small subunit ribosomal RNA", at positions 524 to 776 of the family's 1533-position model. The record is from RNAcentral.
UACGUAGGGUGCGAGCGUUAAUCGGAAUUACUGGGCGUAAAGCGUGCGUAGGUGGUGAGUUAAGUCUGUCGUGAAAGCCCCGGGCUCAACCUGGGAAUGGCGAUGGAUACUGGCUCGCUAGAGUGCGGUAGAGGAGAGUGGAAUUCCCGGUGUAGCAGUGAAAUGCGCAGAUAUCAGGAAGAACACCCGUGGCGAAGGCGGCUCUCUGGGACGGUACUGACGCUAAGGCGCGAAAGCGUGGGGAGCGAACAGG